Small nucleolar RNA from Telopea speciosissima, 71 nucleotides. RefSeq annotates it as small nucleolar RNA snoR60. The record is from RefSeq and is a predicted model, not a curated record. NCBI's taxonomy places the organism in Eukaryota, Viridiplantae, Streptophyta, Magnoliopsida, Proteales, Proteaceae. The transcript has a single exon.
UAGCAGAUGAUGAGUAACUCGGAUUCCCCUUCAAGACCUUGUGUGUGAUGUAAUCCCGAGCUUCUGAUGCA